UGUAAUCAAUGAUGAUGAUUCUGUAUAAUUGCCUGAUAAUAUAUGAGGGCAAUUCUAGUCACUACCUCAUCUGAGAUAACA
This 81-nucleotide small nucleolar RNA is filed under the name Pelobates cultripes (western spadefoot toad). It matches the Rfam family "Small nucleolar RNA SNORD11B". The record is from RNAcentral. Lineage: Eukaryota; Metazoa; Chordata; Amphibia; Anura; Pelobatidae.